This 605-nucleotide ribosomal RNA is filed under the name uncultured marine eukaryote. RNAcentral's name for it is "SSU rRNA". It matches the Rfam family "Eukaryotic small subunit ribosomal RNA", at positions 613 to 1219 of the family's 1831-position model. The record is from RNAcentral.
UUGUGGUUAAAAAGCUCGUAGUUGGAUCUCAACAGCCUUGAAGCGGUUAACUUUGUAGUUUUACUGCUUUAUAGGCUGUGCUUUUGCUGGAGGUUUAGGGGUGCUCUUGAUCGAGUGUCUCUGGAUGCCAGCAGGUUUACUUUGAAAAAAUUAGAGUGCUCAAAGCAGGCUAAAAUGCCUGAAUAUUCGUGCAUGGAAUAAUAGAAUAGGAUGUCGAUCCUAUUUUGUUGGUUUUCGGGACUCGACAUAAUGAUAAAUAGGGACAGUCGGGGGCAUUUGUAUUCAAACGACAGAGGUGAAAUUCUUGGACCGUUUGAAGACAAACUACUGCGAAAGCAUUUGCCAAGAAUGUUUUCAUUAAUCAAGAACGAAAGUUAGAGGUUCGAAGGCGAUUAGAUACCGCCCUAGUUCUAACCAUAAACGAUGCCAGCUAGCGAUCUGCCUGCGUUUUUACUGUAGACUGGGCAGGAAGCUUCCGGGAAACCAAAGCAUUUGGGUUCCAGGGGAAGUAUGGUUGCAAAGCUGAAACUUAAAGGAAUUGACGGAAGGGCACCACCAGGAGUGGAGCCUGUGGCUUAAUUUGACUCAACACGGGAAAUCUCACC